This 576-nucleotide ribosomal RNA is filed under the name Acidicapsa sp. RNAcentral describes it as "bacterial SSU rRNA". It matches the Rfam family "Bacterial small subunit ribosomal RNA", at positions 131 to 739 of the family's 1533-position model. Lineage: Bacteria; Pseudomonadati; Acidobacteriota; Terriglobia; Terriglobales; Acidobacteriaceae. The record is from RNAcentral.
CUGGAGUGGGGAAUAACUGAGGGAAACCUUAGCUAAUACCGCAUAAUACCUACGGGUCAAAGGAGCAAUUCGCUUCAGGAGGGGGUCGCGGCCGAUUAGUUAGUUGGCGGGGUAAUGGCCCACCAAGACAGUGAUCGGUAUCCGGCCUGAGAGGGCGCACGGACACACUGGAACUGAAACACGGUCCAGACUCCUACGGGAGGCAGCAGUGGGGAAUUUUGCGCAAUGGGGGAAACCCUGACGCAGCAACGCCGCGUGGAGGAUGAAAUCCCUUGGGAUGUAAACUCCUUUCGAUCGGGACGAUUAUGACGGUACCGGAAGAAGAAGCCCCGGCUAACUUCGUGCCAGCAGCCGCGGUAAUACGAGGGGGGCAAGCGUUGUUCGGAAUUAUUGGGCGUAAAGGGAGCGUAGGCGGUUUUGUAAGUCGUGUGUGAAAUCUUCGGGCUCAACUCGAAGUCUGCACACGAAACUGCAGGGCUUGAGUAUGGGAGAGGUGAGUGGAAUUCCUGGUGUAGCGGUGAAAUGCGUAGAUAUCAGGAGGAACACCUGUGGCGAAAGCGGCUCACUGGACCAUUA